This 74-nucleotide transfer RNA is filed under the name Bostrychia simpliciuscula. Its description in RNAcentral is "tRNA-Pro". It matches the Rfam family "tRNA". Rfam says of the family: Transfer RNA (tRNA) molecules are approximately 80 nucleotides in length. Their secondary structure includes four short double-helical elements and three loops (D, anti-codon, and T loops). Further hydrogen bonds mediate the characteristic L-shaped molecular structure. tRNAs have two regions of fundamental functional importance: the anti-codon, which is responsible for specific mRNA codon recognition, and the 3' end, to which the tRNAs corresponding amino acid is attached (by aminoacyl-tRNA synthetases). tRNAs cope with the degeneracy of the genetic code in two manners: having more than one tRNA (with a specific anti-codon) for a particular amino acid; and 'wobble' base-pairing, i.e. permitting non-standard base-pairing at the 3rd anti-codon position. The record is from RNAcentral. Lineage: Eukaryota; Rhodophyta; Florideophyceae; Ceramiales; Rhodomelaceae.
CGGGAUAUAGCACAGUUUGGUAGCGCACCUGCUUUGGGAGCAGGAUGUCGCAGGUUCAAAUCCUGCUAUCCCGA